RNAcentral lists this unclassified non-coding RNA (326 nucleotides) under uncultured fungus. Its description in RNAcentral is "sequence contains ITS1". The stretch from base 1 to 104 matches the Rfam family "5.8S ribosomal RNA", at positions 49 to 154 of the family's 154-position model. Lineage: Eukaryota; Fungi. The record is from RNAcentral.
UAAAGUGCGAAAAGUGAUGCGAUUUGCAUGAAUCUGUGAGUCAUCCAAUCUUUGAACGCAAAUGGCACUCUUGUGUAAGCAAGAGUAUGUCUGUUUGAGAAUCCCAAAACCGAUCAACACCUGUGGGCGUUGGUACUGGCUUUCCGUGCAGUUGUGCGGAUUGCUUAAAGAUAUUCAGGUUGAUGAGCUUCCAGCCAAGCUCCAAGUGUGCUAAAAGACUGUGGUCUUUCGUCAUUUGGUCUGUUUGGUCAUACGGCUCUAAACGACAACCUUUAAAACUUAUCUAAUAGGAUCUCAAAUCAGGCAAGAUUACCCGCUGAACUUAA